Molecule: ribosomal RNA, 574 nt
Filed under: Prosthodendrium hurkovae
Lineage: Eukaryota; Metazoa; Platyhelminthes; Trematoda; Plagiorchiida; Lecithodendriidae
Description: partial 28S ribosomal RNA
Source: RNAcentral
CUUUUAAGUAAACAGGGGCGUGACAACCGAUCAGAGGUAACGGGUGGAGUUGAACUGCAAGCUCUGAGAAUUCAGCUGGUGAGUGUGGUUUGAGCUUGGUCAAGUCAGUUGGACUUCGUGGUCCGAGAAGCACUUAGCAAGUGUUGUGGGCCUCGAGUGUUCUUCGGGCUGACUCGCCGGUGCAGUUUCUCAGAGUGGUCACCACGACCGGCAUCGCUGUCUGGCUGGUGGGGUUAAACCGGUUUUGCAUGGUCCCAGUGGCCCUGUUUGAUCGGGAUGGCGGUAGCUCGUUGGCUUGCUCGCGGUCCUCCGUGUGCGUGGUCUUCGAGUGUAAUCAGCUGACCACAUCGGUUCUGUGCAGUAUGUCGGAGACGGCGGCUAGUGCGCGUGCGUGCAUAGCUGGUUGGCGUGUCCGGGUCUGGUUGUUACGUUGCCUGUUUGUGCAGGCCUGAUGAUGGCUCGGAUUCGUUCGGCUUGGCUGUUGCGUGCGUGUACAUAUGGGGCCGAUAGUCUGUGGGUGUAGUGGUAAUUUAUCCCACCUGAACCCCGUCUUUGAAACCCCGGGACCAAAGAA